GGGAAGCAGUUGUGCCAAAACAAACAGUGCGAGAUGUGAGCCGGGGGCAGGAGGUCAGGAGGGCUGAGGGCAGCGUCACCCCCAGGAGAUCAGCGCCUGGAGCUGUGUUCUGCAGGUGCAGAUGCUCCCCAGUGGAACUGCCCACCAGCAUGGCACUAGAGCCAGCAGCAGAGCAAGGAGGUGUGGAAGGGCAGCCUAAGCCUUUCCAUCUAAUCACAAAUUGCUCUCACUCUGCAGAGCAUGCAACAUCAGGCCCUUGUACUGUUGUGCUUCUACUUUAGCGCUUUCCUUCUAUAUAUUAAGAAGACAGAUAUAAUGAAGCAUCUAAACCCCAGAACUAUCAUCUUAAUAACACUGUUAGGUGUCUUCCAAUGGUAAAUAUAUCAGCAGAGCAUACCUUAAGUAGCAUUAAAUUCUGCUUUUAUUGUCUUAGCUUUUGCUACUAAAUGUGAUUCAGAGCUGGUGGCUGGAAGACAGCAGAAGUAAAAGCUAACUUUACUUUUCAGUCUCCUCAUUCAAGCAGUUUUUUCAGGAUUCUCUACAGUGCAAAGUCCUGUUAGAUCAGGUUUAUCUGAUUUGUUUGAUUUAUCAUCUGUGCUUCCUUCAGAAUAGUGUUUCUGGGGCUAUAUGACAGUGACAAACCCCCUUUGACCUUUGGCAUGCUGGAAGGGUCUGGAGACAAGACCUGAACCAAUAGAAAUUCUGUGAUGUAUCUGUGAAGUCCAACCCUUUUGAUUCUUGAGCCUGCUCUUUUGUACUGGUGCAUUUGAAAUUCAAAUGGAGUUGUAUCAGGAAGACAUCUUGGAAUUGCCACUAACCAGGACCAGUAGGGAAUCCUGACUUGCUGUCAGCAGGAGGUUCUCAUUCAGUCCCCCAGAACUGAUCCGUGCUCCCUCAUCCAGUGCUGUGAGAGUUUUUCAUCAAUAUGCAGGUGGCAGCAGAGGAGCAAUCUGACAAAAUGGCAUCUGACAGUGGAAUUGCUUAUGGAGAAAAGGUGUGUUGUUGAAAUCUUUCAUGUGGAAAAAGUGGCACCCAUUGACAUUCACUGAUACUUGCUGAACGUUUCUGGAGACCAAACAGUGGCUGUGAGCACAGUGAGGGGAUGAGAAGGUGAAGGGAAAUCCUUAAGACCACUCUUCAAGUGGAGGAAGCAGGAUAGAAGACUCAUAAUCAUGUCCUAACAGCGCUUCCAUGACUGAGAGAUAAUGGACACAUCUGCAUCAUGAUCAAAAGUAUAGUGUGAGCCUAUCUGAGCUUACUUCAGAAAUUCAGGCUUGACCUCUGAGGGUUUAUGCUAAUGUAUUUGGUGUUCAUUCAGUAUCUAGCAUAGUGGUCCAUGAUCCAUCACUGUGCUCCCAAGGUGCUCCUGCAAGACAGAUUUCAGCCACCGUUCCCUUUGUAUAGGUACCUUUACCUGUGAAUCUGAAGAGAAUGCUGUGUGGACUGUGAAUUCCUGUCAGAAGACACGGUAAGUAUUUGGACAGCUAAUUCAUGCAGGUCCCUGAGCUACCACUGCUAGUAUUAAGCUCACUAGUUAAAGCCGCUUUAGAUGAAUGCAGCUACAGCAGAAGCUGAAUGAUAAAUAUUCCCAAAUGUAACCAAACAAACUGGCAAACUCUGAAUAAAUAUAUGAAAUACAUCGUAGUAGUCACAAACUCUGCUUGUUACUCUCAAGAGGAAUAAAUUUUGUUUAGGGCCACAAACCAGGCCCUCUUUUACAGCAUUUUGGAUUUUAUGCUACCUUACAAGCGCAAAAGGACAAUAAAGCAAUGGUAAAUAUUCAAAAAUUACUUUACCGUGGACUG
Long non-coding RNA from Gallus gallus (chicken), 1805 nucleotides. Lineage: Eukaryota; Metazoa; Chordata; Aves; Galliformes; Phasianidae. The record is from Ensembl.